CAAUGAAGGUGGCAUGGUAAGGUGCACAGAAAUUGAAUUAUAUUGGUCUACAUGUCUGCUCCCUCUGAUGUGUCUGUACAAUGCUUUUGAUUUGGGGGCCUGGUUUCUGACCCACAGUU
This is a non-coding RNA of Jatropha curcas, 119 nucleotides long. The record is from Rfam. Lineage: Eukaryota; Viridiplantae; Streptophyta; Magnoliopsida; Malpighiales; Euphorbiaceae.